This 496-nucleotide ribosomal RNA is filed under the name uncultured bacterium. RNAcentral's name for it is "partial 16S ribosomal RNA". It matches the Rfam family "Bacterial small subunit ribosomal RNA", at positions 28 to 506 of the family's 1533-position model. The record is from RNAcentral.
GAUGAACGCUGGCGGCGUGCCUAAUACAUGCAAGUCGAGCGAACGGACGAGAAGCUUGCUUUUCUGAUGUUAGCGGCGGACGGGUGAGUAACACGUGGAUAACCUACCUAUAAGACUGGGAUAACUUCGGGAAACCGGAGCUAAUACCGGAUAAUAUUUUGAACCGCAUGGUUCAAAAGUGAAAGACGGUCUUGCUGUCACUUAUAGAUGGAUCCGCGCUGCAUUAGCUAGUUGGUAAGGUAACGGCUUACCAAGGCAACGAUGCAUAGCCGACCUGAGAGGGUGAUCGGCCACACUGGAACUGAGACACGGUCCAGACUCCGACGGGAGGCAGCAGUAGGGUAUCUUCCGCAAUGGGCGAAAGCCUGACGGAGCAACGCCGCGUGAGUGAUGAAGGUCUUCGGAUCGUAAAACGCUGUUAUUAGGGAAGAACAUAUGUGUAAGUAACUGUGAACAUCUGGACGGUACCUAAUCAGAAAGCCACGGCUAACUACGU